GGGCCUGUAGCUCAGCUGGUAGAGCACUACGUUUACACCGUAAUGGUCGGGGGUUCGAGUCCCUCCGGGCCCA
This 73-nucleotide transfer RNA is filed under the name Myceligenerans xiligouense. It matches the Rfam family "tRNA". From Rfam's summary of the family: Transfer RNA (tRNA) molecules are approximately 80 nucleotides in length. Their secondary structure includes four short double-helical elements and three loops (D, anti-codon, and T loops). The record is from Rfam by way of RNAcentral. Lineage: Bacteria; Bacillati; Actinomycetota; Actinomycetes; Micrococcales; Promicromonosporaceae. RNAcentral also lists the same sequence under 1 other name.